Molecule: long non-coding RNA, 3274 nt
Organism: Taeniopygia guttata (zebra finch)
Lineage: Eukaryota; Metazoa; Chordata; Aves; Passeriformes; Estrildidae
Source: Ensembl
GGAAGGCCUGAAAGGCUCAUGGCCACCACAGUGGCUGGGUCCUGUGUAGGAUGAAGAGCCCAGGGAGGAAGGCUCUGAACCAGCCGAGUCCCUCAGCCUGCGAUGGAGGUGGCACCCUCGGAGAGAGACUAGGAGCUGCUCAUGAAGGAGCUGGACUUGCUAGGGAACAGGAAGUAAAUGGAGUGUCUUGUGGAGAUGCCUUGUAGGGAGAGCUGACUGCCAGCCAAAAACCCAUUCAGCUACAAAAGCAGCUGUUUCAGCCCAAAGAAUUUUUUGGUUGCAGCUGGCUAUGCUGUGCCCUGCAUCAGCCUCCAGAGAGCCUGUGUCACAGGAGAGGAAACCUUUCAGCUGGAGAAGUCAGCCACUGUUCAAGCUUGACCCAGAUUCUGAGACCUUGGUCUCCUUCCUGUGCCACCUCUUGUCUGAGCUGAGGCCUCCUCCCACAUGGAGAAAGGAGCUCCAAAAAUCAAUGGUCAAUCUGUUCUUCUUCAACCCUUGUCGAUCCUUGCUAAGAGAGGGUGUGAGACAUCCCCCCCUACAAGUCAUGACUUAGGUGAACCACAGGAUCAUCUUUUCAUGAUGGCUUUAAAAAAGGAAGGCUUUACCUUCCUUUGCUUCAGCCUUUCAGUGAUCCUUUCAGAUCCCACAUGUGUUUGUGACCAUUCCUGAGCCCAAAGCUGGAAUUUCUAAAGUGCUACCAGCAGCAGCCCCAAGCAAAAUAAUGGAUGACUAAGAGCAGAAGGAAGCACUAUGUGCUCACAGAGUGGAGAACUGCAUGUGCAGGAAUCCCAACAAACUUGCCACUGGCAAGAACAUUUAUUAGUGAGGCACUGCCAAAUCCCCCAAGCUGUCCAUGCACAAAGGGGUUGGGUGAUCCCUCGUGCAGCCCCCACAGCUGCAGCAGGGCUUGGCACAGCGUUUCUGCUGAAGAUGUGAGGGUUUGGUCCUGCAGGAGCAGCUGCAUGGGUUUUGCAAUGCAGGCACUCAGACAGCUGCAGACUCCAAACUGUGAAUCCCUACUACCAGACUCUGAGCUCCUGAAGCUGAUUUUACCACUUCAAUAAUAAGGGAAAAUUAUGUGGAUUGGUAGCAGAAGAGUUAUAUGGUGAAGGCCACCAGGCCCUCCAGGAAGAGCAAGAGAGGCUGAGAAGGCAUUUUUCUGAUCAAAAUGUCUUCAGCUGCUCUACAGGGGCAGGAGCUGUAAGAUUUAUUUAUCAGAUACCCAUCCUCAAACCUAAGAGCAUUUAUUUUUCCCAGUAAAUUUGUGUUAAACCAGUGUUGGAUCACAGAGGGUUGUGAUAAGAGCUGGGCUGCACUUUUUGGGUGGCACAGCUUUUCCUCCUAUCUGAAAUCUCCUCUCUCUGGGUUUCUGCUGACCAACUGAUCCCUCCACAGAUACCUGAGCAUCCAACAAACUAUUUCUGCAGGGACUUCUCUGCUUCCAACAGAUCUUGGGCUCUCACCUGUGCCUGUCCCGGCCAUCCUUCUGCAGGGGGCACCUGCACAUGCCUGGCUGGAAGAUGACAGUGUGAGAGUGUUUUUGGAGGUCCUGGUGCAGUCAGAUGGGUGCAAUCUUCCAGCCCUGACAACAUUUACAACUUGCAAUGUCAGUGCUGAGAUAUUUACACAACCAUGGGAGGGAUCCCUCAACCCUCUACACGUGCUCCUUUCCAGCACAGCUGUUUUCAGGAAUCUCCAGGUUUCAAUCCACUGGCUAUUUCAACAAAGUCCAAAUUUAUUUAUUUUCUUUUCAUAGCUCCCAGCAGCCAAGCUGUGACAGCCAAGGGAAUCCUGCUCAGUCUUUCAGCAUUAAUGUCUCAAUUAUCAAGCACUGCCUUCUUCCACAUGGGGAUUGAAUGUGUGUGUGUUGGAACUCCUUGAAGUAUUUUCUAGAGCUGAAGUGUAAGCAGGGACUCAGUUUGGAGUGGCAUUGGAGAUGCUCAAAAAAGUGCUAUGAGGUAAAGUCCAGCCUCAUUCAAUGCCACUUAAUGUCUGUCACCUUGUUUAGAAUGGGACAGCAGAGCUGAGUUUUUCCUUUAAUGCUAAUGGCCCAGCUGUAUCUCACAUUGGUGCUUUUAUCCCAGGAAUUGCAUGGAUCCUGCAGCUGGCUCAUGUCCUGAGUGCCCAUCCUACUCCUCAUGCUCUGCUGUUGGCUCAGGGAAUUCAGGAGAGCUGAUGCUGAUGCAAGGCAGCAGGACAGCGUUUGUGGAACCUCCUGUCACUGCCCCCCAGGAUGAGAAGCAGCCUUCCAAGAGAGACAGGGUGGCUGCACUGGCCCCAAAAAGGUGCAGGAAGCACAUCAACAGUUGUUUGCAUUCGUGGUUUCAGUGGGGACAGGAUUUCUUAAUUAGCAAGACCUUCUGAAAAUAUCCUGGUACAGAACCACGGCUAAAAUCAACCAGCAGACAAAGCCAAGUGGAUUUCUGCACAUCUAAAGGCAGGAAAAGAAAUAGCACGAGAUCCUCGCAGUGCUGCAGAGGAGGAUUUUGUGGCUGCUGAGCAAAACCUGUGUGCAGCAUCUCUGCAUCCCGGGAAAGGUGGGAUGACCCAGUGGCUGGAGCAGAAAGAACAUCUUGGAUUACGUUGCUGCAAAUGAGAGAUUUCAGCAGUGGUAUCAGAUGAGCUGCAGCUUGUGGCUGUUCAAGCUCAGCAGUGCUAAAACGUGACAUGGGCUCGCAGAGGACACGUGCAGCCCGUGGAGUGAACUGCAACCUGAACAGCUCUCCCAGCAGCGGGGGCUCUGUGUCCUUCUAGCAAUAAAUUCCUCCUGGACAGUGUUUCGGGGGAUUGCUAGGAUUUGAGGAGAGAGGAGGCUGGCUGGAAGUGAGACAGGCUCCAGGUUUAUCCUUGAAAGCUCCUGCACUGCAGAGCCUGGGGCUGCCUUUGGCAGCCUGCCUGGAGGAAGAUGUCAGUGGAGGCUGAAGGCUGCCUCGUGCUGUAUGAACCCACCAAUCCCCUCCUCGGCCAGCUAAGUUGGAGAUAAAUCUCCCUAUUAGCAAUGCAUAAAGCAGGCCAAAAUUUGAACAGCUUCUUAAGCAGGAGGUGAAUCAAAAGCUCAAAAUUACUUAGAAUAAGUCCUUUCUGUGCUCCGGGCUAGAAAGUGGUUGUUUUGGAGCUUUCCCAUAGUGUGCCUGGCCUGCCCGCCGGGAGAGAGGGGUGCCGAGCAAGACAGCAAAAUCAGGUAAAAAAUAACCCCAUCCCCAACGUCAGCAGCAGAGCCGAGAGGAACCAGAAGUCCUGAGCUGUUUCGAAGUUGUGUUAAAUAAUAAAGCAG